UACGGAGGAUGCGAGCGUUAUCCGGAUUCAUUGGGUUUAAAGGGUGCGCAGGCGGCCGUGCAAGUCAGCGGUGAAAUCCCGGGGCCCAACCCCGGAAGUGCCGUUGAUACUGUGUGGCUGGAAUGCGGUCGAGGCGGGCGGAACGUGGCGUGUAGCGGUGAAAUGCGUAGAUAUGCCACAGAACGCCGGUAGCGGAGGCAGCUCGCCAGGCCUGCAUUGACGCUCGGGCACGAAAGCGUGGGGAU
Molecule: ribosomal RNA, 245 nt
Filed under: uncultured Acetobacteroides sp.
Lineage: Bacteria; Pseudomonadati; Bacteroidota; Bacteroidia; Bacteroidales; Rikenellaceae
Description: partial 16S ribosomal RNA
Rfam family: Bacterial small subunit ribosomal RNA
Source: RNAcentral